RNAcentral lists this long non-coding RNA (976 nucleotides) under Homo sapiens (human). RNAcentral describes it as "non-protein coding lnc-MTERF1-10:1". Lineage: Eukaryota; Metazoa; Chordata; Mammalia; Primates; Hominidae. The record is from RNAcentral.
UAUAUCCAAAGGCAUGGAAUAAAUGACUUUUAUAUUGGUGUGGUAUUGUCUCUGAGCUCCAGCAUUUUUAGUGGGGAGAAGUACACUUUGAAAUAAACAAAAACAAGGUCUCUUACCAGGAUAGGAACCAUGAAAGCAGAUCUAAGUGACCAUGCAUAUCUAAAAGAAUGGUUGUGGUGGGCCGGACUCUCAAGGGGAGCCAAUGAGGUUGCCAACUUUACUGCCUCUGGGCCAGCUGCCUUAGCGCCUCCAUUAGGAGCUCUCAUUGUCCUUGUAAAGGUCUGCAGUUACAGUCAUUCAUCCUUCAAAAGGAGAGGACAUAGAGACCUUACAUAAAAUGUCUUGCAAGCUAGGUGAUCCACAUUUUAUGGUUUUUGUAAAACUUGUGGCCAUUGUAGUCUUGAUUUAAUCUUGGUUUUAGGACUUCACCACAAACUGAGCAUUGUCUUUACAUAACCAUCUGCUCUGUAAGCAGAGCGUUUUCAGUCUGCUAUGUUAAAGGCCUGAGCAUUGUUUUAAAGAACUUUCUGCUGGAAAGUCUCUGCUGAGACAUCCCUUGGCCUGGUUUCUGCUGCUAAGCCUCACAGUCUGUGUAAGCACACAGAUUAAUUAUUUAAACAGGGCCCUGGACAUAUUGAACCCUUCUAUAUAGCAACUUCAAUGUAUUAUGUGUUCUUUAACAUCAGUUUUAACUUACUCAGCUCUUUAAGAAGGGGCAAGAUAUGCCUGUCGAUUACAUUAUUGGUACUUUGAGUGUCUUCUUAGGAUGUUUAUGGGGAUGUCAUUAUUGCAUGCCUUUAAAGAUGACUGUUUAGCAAAAUUUCCCAUGUCUUUUUGAGAUGAAAAAGCAAUUAAUGCAAUCUCUCUAAUAUUCUUAAUAUGUCUAAUAUUAUUAAUAGCAACAAAGUUUAACUUGUAGAACUGAACAACAAACUGGUCAAAGUAUCCCCCAAAAGAAAUAAAAAUCUGAUAGUUU